RNAcentral lists this ribosomal RNA (235 nucleotides) under uncultured bacterium. RNAcentral's name for it is "partial 16S ribosomal RNA". It matches the Rfam family "Bacterial small subunit ribosomal RNA", at positions 524 to 757 of the family's 1533-position model. The record is from RNAcentral.
UACGUAGGGUGCAAGCGUUGUCCGGAAUUAUUGGGCGUAAAGAGCUCGUAGGCGGUUUGUUGCGUCGGCUGUGAAAUCCCGAGGCUCAACCUCGGGUCUGCAGUCGAUACGAGCAAACUAGAGUGUUGCAGGGGAGACUGGAAUUCCUGGUGUAGCGGUGAAAUGCGCAGAUAUCAGGAGGAACACCGGUGGCGAAGGCGGGGUCUCUGGGCCGAUACUGACGCUGGAGGGUGCG